CCGCGUGAGGGAUGACGGCCUUCGGGUUGUAAACCUCUUUUAGUAGGGAAGAAGCGAAAGUGACGGUACCUGCAGAAAAAGCACCGGCUAACUACGUGCCAGCAGCCGCGGUAAUACGUAGGGUGCAAGCGUUGUCCGGAAUUAUUGGGCGUAAAGAGCUCGUACGCGGUUUGUCGCGUCUGCUGUGAAAUCCCGAGGCUCAACCUCGGGCUUGCAGUGGGUACGGGCAGACUAGAGUGCGGUAGGGGAGAUUGGAAUUCCUGGUGUAACGGUGGAAUGCCCAGAUAUCAGGAGGAACACCGAUGGCGAAGGCGGAUCUCUGGGCCGUAACUGACGCUGAGGAGCGAAAGCAUGGGGAGCGAACAGGAUUAGAUACCCUGGUAGUCCAUGCCGUAAACGGUGGGCGCUAGAUGUAGGGACCUUUCCACGGUUUCUGUGUCGUACCUAAAGCAUUAAGCGCCCCGCCUGGGGAGUACGGCCGCAAGGCUAAAACUCAGAGGAAUUGACGGGGGCCCGCACAAGCGGCGGAGCAUGCGGAUUAAUUCGAUGCAACGCGAAGAACCUUACCAAGGCUUGACAUACACCGGAGACGGCCAGAGAUG
RNAcentral lists this ribosomal RNA (602 nucleotides) under Curtobacterium sp. Ri2Pt_3936. RNAcentral's name for it is "bacterial SSU rRNA". It matches the Rfam family "Bacterial small subunit ribosomal RNA", at positions 397 to 1008 of the family's 1533-position model. Lineage: Bacteria; Bacillati; Actinomycetota; Actinomycetes; Micrococcales; Microbacteriaceae. The record is from RNAcentral.